RNAcentral lists this long non-coding RNA (595 nucleotides) under Sorghum bicolor (sorghum). RNAcentral describes it as "long non-coding RNA (SBIC_LNC001109)". The record is from RNAcentral. Lineage: Eukaryota; Viridiplantae; Streptophyta; Magnoliopsida; Poales; Poaceae.
GAUUAGAGAGACACUGGAAGCACUAGACAAUGUAAGAACAGGUCUGGCGGCUCCGCAAGGGCAUCACAAAGCUCGGCAUGGGGCUUUCAACAACCAGAGAGCAAUGAAACUCGGUGAUGGCGGCGGCGGCUUGCUCUUGUGUUCACCGAGUUCCAAAACGGCGUCGGGGAGCAGGUUGAUUGCCUCUGGACGCUUGUAGAUGGAAAUAGAGACGCGGUGAGGAAAGGCCAAGGCUAAAACAGGCUCGGGAAAAAUCAAAUCCCGUGGAAAACGGGAUUGGCUCGGUCCCAAUACGGUGGGGAAACCUGCUUGGUCACGUUCCAGGAAGAAGAAGGGAGUUGGUGACGCUGACGUGCGGGCCCAGAGUGGCAGUGGGAAGAAGAGAAGGGAAGCUCGGCUUGGGCUGGCCUGUUGCGUUUUGGGCCGAAGAGGAGAGGGGAAGGUUUUUUUUCCUUUUUUCUUUUGCUUGUUCUCUUUUUAUUUCAAAGCCUUUUCAAAACAAUUUAAAAUCAGUUUGAAAAUAUUUUGACUUUGCCCAAAUUCACACAAUACAACGAAAAUAAAUGCUCCAAAAUGAAUGCACAAACAUAUUGCU